RNAcentral lists this long non-coding RNA (7635 nucleotides) under Citrus sinensis (sweet orange). RNAcentral's name for it is "long non-coding RNA (CSIN_LNC002323)". Lineage: Eukaryota; Viridiplantae; Streptophyta; Magnoliopsida; Sapindales; Rutaceae. The record is from RNAcentral.
CCAAACUUUUAUUAUAGAAUAAAUCUAAGAUGAUGGAUGAUGGAUGCGUCACAUAAAAGUUAAUUAAUUUAAUCGCUGUCACUGCUGCUGCUGCUCUCGUGUCCGUCCUCGUGCUUCUUCUUCUUCUCCUUCUUUUUCUUCUUCUCUUCACCGUGGGCGGCGCCCUCGCCGCCGCCGACACCGGGGAUCUUCUGCUUGAUCUUGUCCACCAAGCCCUCCUUGUGUUCGCCCUCCUUGUGUUCCCCGCCGUGAUGCUGCUGCUGAUGGUGAACAUCAGUAGUGCCGACACCGGGGAUCUGCUGCUUGAUCUUGUCCACCAAGCCCUCCUUGUGUUCGCCGCCGUGAUACUGCUGCUGAUGGUGGACAUCAGUAGUGUGGUGGUCCCCACUAUGGUGCUCUCCCUUGUGCUUGUCCUCCUCCUUUUGCCCUCCUCCCAUGUGAAGGGCUUCUCCGAUCUUGUGAAUAACUCCUGACAUUUUCCCUUAAAAUGACUCUGUUCCUCUUCUUUUCUUUUCAAUGAAAAAUAGUUGUUUGCGAUCUUCUUCUGGUUGUUGUUGUUCUUGUUGGGUGAUCUUGGCUUGGUAUUUAUAGGCUCCAAAAGGAGGGACUAGAAUUAGGAUUAGAUUAUAGAUUAUUUUAAUACAUUUUAUGGCAAAUUCUGAUUUGGAAAGAUAAGAUUAUCCUUUUGGUUUUCCUUAUUUACCCUUUUGCACCCAUUACGUGUACGCGUCUUCGUGGGCUUUUUGGGUAUUUCAAUUAUAUCGCCAAUGCUAAAUCGACACGUUGCAUAUCAGCCGCGGUACUGCCGUAUGUAGUUGUCCAGAAAUCGAGUCGAUUCUCGAUCGUACAAUAAUUAAAUAAUAUUUCAUACGAAAUGAGUUUAGAUAUAUUUUGAAAAUUUAUUUUUAAUUUAAUUAUACGUGUUAUAUAUUUGUUAAUCGAAUAGAGGUCCCACGUAACAGAGUGUUUCUCUAAUCUUUCAUUGCUUUUAAUUAAUUUUACCCAAAUAAAAAAAAAAAGGAAAAUUUAGAGAGAGAGAGAGAGAUAGCGAAUUAGAAGUUGAUUGUAAUAUCGACACCUGUCAGACAAUCAAAUAUCGUUAGUUAAAAAUCAGUUGUCCAUAGUCAUGGUCAUAGAUGGCGAAAUUGAUACUUAUUUUAAAAAACAAAACAAAACAAAACGAAACGAAACUAAACUAACAGAUGUUGAAAUGCAGUUCCGUGUUAACAGUCUGUGAUGAAUCUUUAUCUUUGAGUAUACCAUUCAAGAAAUUAUCAUUCAAAAAUUUAUUUAAAGCAGCAGCAAAUCACCUUCUAAUUCCUGAAUCAAAUUAAUUCGAUUUUUUUCGAGUCGAUCAAUUCAUUAGAGAAUUAACGGGCUAAGUUAAAGUUUUGUUAGUUAUUUUUUUUUAUAUUCCUUUAGAUGAUAUGAUUGUCAUUGUCUUUCUUUCUCUGGGCAACAAUAAAUACAAGAUGUGCAAAAGCGUAGUGGAACAUAAUUCGAUUAUGGGUAAAGGGAUCAGUCCGCAUAAUGAGGAUAAAGUUUUUCUCUUUAAAAAAAUUUAACCCAAAGAAAAGGUCGUAGUUUGUAAUAGCCGACACGCAGAUAGAUCACAAAGCAUGGCGGUCCUGAUGGCAAUAACUAACUGAUAUCUUCUGCGAUGAGAGGAGAUCACGUGGUUCUGACACGUAUCGCCCCAUCAACUGAUGUUGUGGCUGCAAUCGCGGCCCAGUCUUUAGAGAGAAGAAAGAUCUGUUAUAACGGGACCUACUUUAGCAUCUAUUUACGACAAAGCCCCUAUUUACUCUACUUAGUAGUAAUAAUAGCAAGUGUCGGGCUUGGAUUCCGUGUUGCUUUAAAUAAAUAUCCGCGUAAAAAGAAAAUGCUUCUUUAAUCCCUUCCUUGUAAUUUUUCGACACGUGGAUGGUUGAAAUUAGCGUGCCGACAUCUUAGGAAUUUUAUCUUGGAGACGGGAACACUGCAGUAGGCAAUGCCAUUUUCUUCGGAUGGUGUGUGGUGACAACGCCUUGGAUUUUGACGUGCAAAGAAUUUAAAUUGAAAAAGAAAAAAAGAAAUUACCAGAAUAAGCAUAGAAGAGAUAUUUUUCUUUUUGUCCUUUUUGGAAUGGAAAAAGAGAUCAAGAGAUUGUUCCAGUAAGUAUUACACAUGUCACAGGCUUAUUCAUGCCCCAUUAUGGCAACUUUUAUGCCUCGCGGUGCCCUCGGUUCCAGCAUAAUAGCUAAGACUUCAAUUUUUCUAACAUAUUUUUGUUACAAAUAUGAACGGAGUAAAUGUAUAACUUUAAUCCUUUGAAUAAAGAAAUGGCGGUUCUCCUGCUCGUUAAUCUCACUUGAAUCCCACCCAGGCAAAAUUUCUUUAUUUUAUUUAACAACAAUUUAAAGAAAGAAACUUUUGCCAGGUUGAAUUUCAAGUGAGAUUCAUUCGUGGGAGAAGUGCCAUUUCUUUAUUCAAAAGAUUAUGGUAAUUACAACUUUCAAUUUCGACAUAAAUUAAAAUUAUAGGCUAUACAAUAAAAUUGCCCUAAAUUAGUCCUAAUCAAUUCAGAUUAUAAAUUUAGGUAUAUUUAUUAUUUUAAUAUAUUAAUGUUCUAUAUAUAUAUAUAUAUAUAUAUAUAUAUGUGUGUGUGUGUGUGUAUNNNNNNNNNNNNNNNNNNNNNNNNNNNNNNNNNNNNNNNNNNNNNNNNNNNNNNNNNNNNNNNNNNNNNNNNNNNNNNNNNNNNNNNNNNNNNNNNNNNNNNNNNNNNACAGCAGAAAAUAUUUGCUAUGGAUAAGGAGACAUGGUCCCACGUCCCACCGUCCCAAUGCAUAUUUUGUAUGUUUCCAUCUUUUCUGAAAUUUUAAUAAAUAAAGUUUUUUGACCACUUGGCCAAAGAACCUUACCCUUACACAACUUUGUGGUUGGAGUCCUGUGAUACAUGUAAGAACUUAUUUUUUUUCUUAAUUAUAAUAUUUUAGAAUAUAAUUAAGUGAAGUAGGUUUUUUUUUUAAAUAUGAGUAAAAUAGAUAUUUUUUAAAUAUUAAAGAGAGUAAAAUUUGAAUAAUAAUAUAUUAAAAUUAAUACAAACUAAUUUUAAUAAUUAUUUAAUUAUAAAUAUCAAUUAUAACAUCAUAUAAUAUCAAUUAUAAUAUCGUACAUCUCAAUUAAUUCAAUAAUAAUAAUAAUAAAUGUUUUUUGGGAUAAGUAAACAGUCGCAUGGCGACAAUAGUGGAUCUGGAUUAGAGUGAAGUGGUCCCAAGAGGCUGAGGCUGUGGCUGUGGAGUUCUAAAAGUCAAAAGCUCCACGCACUUUGUUUCAGUACCAUACACACUGAAAAAAUUUGCAUUUGCAAUGACGAAAACUUUUCACGAAAUCAAAACACCUCUAAACUAUUUUGUUAUCGAUAUUUAAUGGAGGGGUUUCCUACCUUUUUAACACUCGAUUCACGCCUUGACGCAUCUCACAGAAAACCUCAUGAUCCCAUUAAUCUUGCGUAACAUAUCUCAAAGCCAAUGCAAGUGAUCUUGUUGCCUACUUCCCUUUGACGAUUCAAAAUUGUUGAAAAUAAUUCUUUUUUUUUUUAACCUCAAGGAAGUGACAAAAUAUAAAAGAAUAUUUUCUACACAUUAAACAUCUAGAUUUUUUUUUCUUUUCUUUUUAGAGUACUUGCACAAACCGUUUCCAAGAGAGACCUUUUUUUUUUUUUUUUUUUUCCGGGCUUGGUUACUAAUUUGGUGUGAAUACUCUAUGGUGAAAAAGGAAUCACAAAGCUGUAAUCAAUUUUUUUGCAUCAUUUAGUUGUAACUUGAACAUUGGGAGGUUUAUAAAGAAUUAAAUUAAUUAUAAUGCCUCUACUAGGAAAAGUUCAGAGUAGCCCUUCACAACUUUUUAAAGGCUUAAUAAUUUUCGCUUUCUUCCUCUCAUAACAUAACAAAAAAUUAAGAGCUUUACUCGUACACGUCCUAUGGCUAUAUAGUAUUGGGUUCUCUACUUCAAUCGGCUAUCUCAAACCGAAGGUUAUUUGGACACACCAGCAGUCACGUUUGGAAACUCUCAAAUGCUUGGAUUGUAAUUCUUGUGGAUGAGAUCAUCUAAAUCUUGGGCCCAAGCCGGACAAUGGGUGGACAAAGAACCCUAAAAUACAGUAAAGCUUCUAACACCCCACUAAAACUCUUAAGAAAUCCUACCUUUUAUUUUUAUAUCUCUUUCUUUUAGAAAUUAUAGAGAAGACAUAGCAUUUUAAUUAUUUUCCCUGCCAUUGAAAAUAAAUUCUGUAAACAUAUUUUUUCAUAAUAAAAUUAUUGUUAUUAGAUAAUUUAUUUCUUCAUUGUUUCAAAAUUAUUAUAAUUUUAUCAACAAAAUUAGUUAUGUCAUAUAUUAGGAUUAAAAUUAAUUAGGAUCCAUAACUUGUAAAGACAUUUUAGUUUAAUUGAAUUCAUAUUUGUCAUUUUAUGUAAUUUUCAAUAAAAAUACGACUAUGAGUGCAAAAGUGGGAUGACAUAAUAUUAAAAGAGUGUGAAAUAAUCGGUAAUUGAAAUGGAUUGAAAUCAUAAUAGAGUAUGAAAAUCAGAAUAAAUUGUUUACUUUAGUUGUAGAAAUCAAAAUUAAAAUAAACCAUAUUAUCAUUGAUGUAUAUAUGUUUUCUUGUAAUCGAAAUGAAUUCUUAUAAGUUACUAUAAGACCCUUAUGGUGUGUUUACUAAUCAGAAAUCAGAAUGGAGUGGAAUUUGAAUAUAGAAUGGUAGGGGUAUUCGCGGAUCGGAUUUUACGGAUUGGACAUUAAUUCAUAUCCGAUCCAUAAUUUUACGGAUUAUAAAUUCUCAACACAAUCCAAAUCCAAUCUAUAUGUUUGCAGAUCGGAUGCGGAUUUGACUCAAUUCAUAUCCAAUCCACUAUUUGACGGAUUGAUUUUGGAAUUAAAAAUUUUUAAUUUUGUCCAAUCUAUGAGGUAAUUAAAUUUAAAAAUCUAAUAUAAAAAUAAUUUAUUAAAUAAAAAAUUAACGUAAAAAUAAUUUUACUACCAAUUAAAUUCAAAAUUGAACAAGAUUUAAAUAAAUUAAUUAUUUAAAUAAAACUAGAAUAAUUUAUUUAAAAUUUUUAAAUAUAACAUAUCGAAAAAAAAUUCAUUUGUUUAGAUUAAUAUAUGAAAAUUAACUAAAAUUAUGAAUUUAAAUGUUGAAAUUUGAGAGCUUGGAUGUAACAGGAAGAAAUUAAGAAACUUGAAGAACUUGAAAAGAAAGUAACAAAUUAAGCUUAACUACCUCUAAUGGUGAAGUGAAACAGUGAUGGUUUGUGCGUGCAAUGGGGUACAAAUUUGGCAUUAUAUGCCAAAAUAUUUUGUUUGGCUUUAGAAUUUUUAAUGUUUAGGAAGCUAUAUUUGUUUAUUUAAUUACUCAAAUAUUUAAUUAUUUUUUAUUUUAUGUUAUUAUUGAAUAAGAUAUAAUAUUGUGUUAAUUUAGCUAUACUUUAAUUAAUUAAUUAAUUUAUUAGUAAGUAGCAUUGCUACAUUUAUAAGUUUUAUUUUUUAUUAAAUAAAUACUUUUUUUUUUCAGAUUCACGAAUUUUUACGGAUUUACAGAAAUAAAUCCAUAUCUAAUCCAUCGACUGUGGUUUUUUAAAUUUUCAUUCCAAUCCGAUCUACCAAUCCACAAAUUAUAUUUUUACGGAUCGGACGAAUUGAGCGGAUCAAAUUGGGUUCUGAACACCCCUAGAGAAUGAGAAUCAAAAUAAAUUAUUUACUUUAGUUGUGUGAAUCGGAAUUGGAAUAAAUUGUACUGUCAUUGAUGUGUUUACUUUAUCUUGGAAUCAGAAUGAAUAAUUUCAAAUUACUAAACUGACCUUAAUUUUUUAUUGUAAUAAUAAUAGUAGUAGUAGUAGUAAUAGUAGUAAUUUUCUAUUAUUAUUAUUAUUUUCUCUCUCUUUUGUUUUUAUUUUUUUAUUUUUCUCUUCUUCUUCUCUUCCUCUUUUUUUAUUUUUCUCUAAUUCAUCGAUACUUCUUCUUCUUCUUUUUUCUUUCGUUUUUAUUUUUAAUUUUUCCCUUCUUUAUCGUUCCUUCUUCUCCGUCCAUUCUCUAUCUUCAAACUCUUUUUACUUUUUCUCUUAUUCUUCAUUACUUCUUCUCCCUUUUUUUUUUUUUUCUCUUCUUUAUUAAUUCUUCUUCUUCUGCGUCUAUUCUUCAUCUUCAAAUUAUCAAGUGAAAAAUACCCACGGUGCCUUACAAGAAGAAUUGGUUUUGUUUGCUUCAAUUAUUUUUUGUAUUUUGUACUUUUGAUUGUUUCAAAAGAGGAUAAACUUGUAAUAAUGCAAUUUAAGUAGGGAUGUUUUAGACAAUUUUGGGUAUGAGAGUCUAAUUCCCAACCCCCCACUCCCUCGUAGCAGACUCCCAUUCUUCAUUCCUAACUUGGUGUUGGACCUACUAAAAUAAAUCCCAUUCCCCUUCUUAUUUCAAGAAGCAAACACGAUUUUGAUUUCAAUUCCCCAAUCCGAAAGUAAACGCACAAAAAUUGUACCCAUAUGAGAUUGCUUAUCCUCGAGUUUUUAGAUUGAAAAAAAAAAAGGAAAAAAGAAUGGCCCCAUUAGGAAGGGAUUUUAAGUGUUAGAUAAAGCCGGUGUUAACCAUUAGAAGGUCUCCGACCUUCAACUGUAAUAUAUUAAACCCAGAUAAAUUUACAUAUAAAUCACACAAACCAACAUGCCAAUCAAAUAAAUUACAUCAACUAACAACAAUUGACACAUUAAUUUUCAUAAUACAGAGGAUGCAGAAAAUUAAAAUGUUUUAUCUUUUCUCCUUAUUUGUGAAUUGGAAAAUGAAAAUGUUAAACAUACAGAAGAGUGAAACAGGAUGGAUAUAUAUACACACACACACACACACAGCUUUGGAGUUCAAUGUCAUCGUAUUGCUCCAAGAAGAUUGGCGCCAUCAAGCUUUGCACCUUCCAGAUGCUGUUUAAUCAUCACCAUAACACCUUCAGUAGACAUUAAUACAUAAUAGAAACACAAAAUUCACAUGAUCUGAAUGUCUGGUCUAUUUUACUUACCGUAUCUCGAAGAUUUACGUGCCGUAAAUAAGCUCUUUGAAGGUUGGCACCCUUUAAAUUGGCAUUACGUAGCUUUGCACCCUGCCGCAUAAAUGUUCGAAGUUUCAACAAAUUAAAGUCUCCUGAGAAAUACAUGUCACGAAAAAGUAGGGCUGAAACUUGCAUCUAAUGUACAAGAUUCAAUCAGGGGUGCUUGUCCCACAGUGAAAGUGUAUGGGGGAAAGUGCACUUUCACAAACCAAAGGGGCAAGAUGUGAUUAUCACACGAUUACAAAAGGACUGUAGUCAAGAGAGAGAACUGAACAUGCAGCUUGUAUUGAGGCCAUGAAAAUUGAUGAAAAGCAGUAACAAGCAACCAUUUUGAAAACACUUCAUAUGGUCGAAUCAAUAAAUCAAAGCUAAAAUGAUGUUGACGAUCGAUAGCUUUUAGGUGAUAAGAGUCUUGGCACUACAGUUAAAAUUAUUAUCUAGGAGUGCACACAUUAAUAAAAAAAAACACAACCAAUAAGCAUGCACUCUUAAUCAGCAUAUAAAUUAACAAGUUAGUUGCACCUUAUGUUGUUCCACAAACAGAUUGCUCGAACAAUUCACAAUCUUACCUU